AUGACGACAUCGAACGAAAAGCAUUCCACCACGAGAAAGGAAACCAAGUCAAUGCGAACAAGAGAAGGAACAACACACGAAAACGUUGCUGGUCAUUCCCCACCUUUCUCCGCCCACCAAUCAUCCUCCUCCGGCAGCACAACUCCGGAUUGGCGUGGCCAUCAAAGGACCAGGACGCGACUCCUCUCGUCUGCGGGUUUGUUCUUGCGGACCAUGGACGACGGGGACAUAGAUUUCACCAAUCCGGAGACGUACCUGCACCCGGCCAUGGACAGCUACUUUGACGACAUCCUGAAAGACCCGGAGCACCUCGCAUGUACUCACACCCACGCCUGCUGCAACCCGCAUGUACGCCAUGACCUUGCCCACCACACCCAGACCUGCGUCCAUGUCCACACCAAGAUCCUCCGGGAGGAGUCGGAUGAUGUCCCCGAGACCUCCGAGUCGCCGCAAGAGAAUAACGGCCCCAAGAAGCGCCCGCCAGGUAACCGGGCAGCUGUGAGGAAGUACCGUGAGAAGAAGAAGGCCCACACGACUUUGCUGGAGGAAGAGGUGGCUCGCCUCAAGGCUUUAAACAAGCAGCUCGUGAGGAGGCUUCAGAGUCACUCGGCGCUCGAGGCUGAGGCCUCCAGGCUCCGCUGCCUGCUUGUCGACAUUAGAGGGAGGAUCGACGGAGAGCUUGGUGCUUUCCCUUACAAGCGGCCAGUGAAGAACAAGGAUUUGGCUGACCAAGGAAGUUCCCUUGGUGGUGCCCGGCAGGUUAGGCUCAGAUGCAACGAUCCGCCCUACUGCAGUCCAGAGAUGCAGGCCAUGACAAUGGAUGACGAUGAUGUUAUGAGUAGCGAGGUGUUGGGUCAAGGUGCCGGUGAUAUUGCAAACAACCAGUGGCUCCAAGGUUUGCCAGAUGAUGUAAAGAGGUGA
This 921-nucleotide ribosomal RNA is filed under the name Triticum aestivum (bread wheat). RNAcentral's name for it is "partial small subunit ribosomal RNA". The record is from RNAcentral. Lineage: Eukaryota; Viridiplantae; Streptophyta; Magnoliopsida; Poales; Poaceae.